GAUCCCGGAGGUCAACAUCCGACAGCGCGAUGCGCCCUCGGGUGGGUGUUUU
This 52-nucleotide transfer-messenger RNA is filed under the name Ditibartonella choladocola. Its description in RNAcentral is "Bartonella choladocola ffh sRNA". It matches the Rfam family "ffh sRNA". Lineage: Bacteria; Pseudomonadati; Pseudomonadota; Alphaproteobacteria; Hyphomicrobiales; Bartonellaceae. The record is from RNAcentral.